Molecule: ribosomal RNA, 27 nt
Filed under: Chlamydosporiella restricta
Lineage: Eukaryota; Fungi; Ascomycota; Sordariomycetes; Glomerellales; Plectosphaerellaceae
Also listed under: 1 other name
Description: Acremonium restrictum partial 18S ribosomal RNA
Source: RNAcentral
GUGAACCUGCGGAGGGAUCAUUACCGA